Molecule: ribosomal RNA, 253 nt
Filed under: uncultured bacterium
Lineage: Bacteria
Description: partial 16S ribosomal RNA
Rfam family: Bacterial small subunit ribosomal RNA
Source: RNAcentral
UACGGAGGGUGCAAGCGUUGCUCGGAAUUAUUGGGCGUAAAGGGUAGGUAGGUGGUCUUAUUUGUCUGGGGUGAAAGCCUUGAGCUUAACUCAAGAAGUGCCCCAGAAACGGUAAGACUAGAGUCCUGGAGAGGGUCGUGGAAUUCCCGGUGUAGCGGUGAAAUGCGUAGAGAUCGGGAGGAACACCGGCGGCGAAGGCGGCUGCCUGGACCGGCCCUGACGCUGAGGCGCGAAAGCUAGGGGAGCAAACAGG